RNAcentral lists this ribosomal RNA (487 nucleotides) under uncultured bacterium. RNAcentral describes it as "bacterial SSU rRNA". It matches the Rfam family "Bacterial small subunit ribosomal RNA", at positions 28 to 511 of the family's 1533-position model. The record is from RNAcentral.
GAUGAACGCUAGCGGCAGGCCUAAUACAUGCAAGUCGAACGGUAGAUCGGGUAGCAAUACUUGAUUGAGAGUGACGUAAGGGUGCGUAACACGUAUGCAAUCUACCCUCAACAGGAGUAUAGCUCGGGGAAACUCGGAUUAACACUCCAUAACAUUACGAUGUGGCAUCACAUUGUGAUUAAAACUCCGGUGGUUGAGGAUGAGCAUGCGUCUGAUUAGUUAGUUGGAGGUGUAACGGACCCCCAAGACGAUGAUCAGUAGGGGAACUGAGAGGUUGAUCCCCCACACUGGCACUGAGAUACGGGCCAGACUCCUACGGGAGGCAGCAGUAGGGAAUAUUGGUCAAUGGGUGAGAGCCUGAACCAGCCAUGCCGCGUGCAGGAAGACGGCCUUCUGGGUUGUAAACUGCUUUUAUCUGGGGAUAAAAAGCCCAUGCGUGGGACAUUGAAGGUACCAGAUGAAUAAGCACCGGCUAACUACGUGCCAG